AGGGGUGAGUCUUCCAACUUUGUUCUUUUUUUUUUUUUAAGAUUUUAUUUAUUUAUUUGACAGAGAGAGAUCACAAGUAGGCAGAGAGAGAGGGGGAAGCAGGCUCCCUGCUGAGCAGAGAGCCUGAUUCAGGGCUUGAUCCCAGGACCCUGAGACCACAACCUGAGCCGAAGGCAGAGGCUUCACCCACUGAGCCAUCUAGGCGCCCCAGUUGUUCUAUUUCUGUAAAAAAAAAAAAAAAAGAAGUGGAGGGGUGCCAGGCUGCUUCUGUUGGUAGAACAUGCAUGCUACUCUUGAUCUUGGGAUUGUAGUUCAAGCCCCAAGUUGGGUGUGGAACUUACUAAGAAAAAAAAAUAAGUAGGAUUUGGUAGAGAUUGCAGUGAAGAUCUAUAUCUAUAGGUAAGUCUUCCAGUCCAUGAAUACAAGAUACUUUUCCAUUUAUUUUUAUCUUCCUUAAUUUCAUUCAGCAAUGUUUUAUCAUUUCUUUUGUUAAUUCUUAACUACUUUAUUCUUUGUGAUGCUAUUCUAAAUUGAAAUUUAAAAAAAAUUUCCUUCUUGGCUUGUUCAUUGUUUGUGUAUAGAAACACAACUGAUUUUUGUGUGAUUUUGUAUUCUGCAACUUUGCUGAAUUCAUUUAUCCUUUUUUUUUUCCUUUUGGUGGAAUCCAAAGGAUUUUCUACAUAUGUGAUCAUAUCAUCUGUAAACAGCUGCCGGAGACAGAAGCAAAAGAAGGGAGAGAAGUGAAGGCAUGGAAGGACCUUUCCCAAAUAUCACUGGACCCCCACUUGUGUUAUGACCACCCAUACCAGGGUGCUCUCAAAAGCAGCUGGCUGUAUGUACUAUAAUCACCUUGAAGGAGGCUACCCAGGGGGCAGAGAUAGUGCCUGUUCUACCACUGUGUUUUCCAGCACACAGCACUGGGCCUGGCACCGAGCACACCCCCAAUCAGUAUGAGUGAAAGAAUGGGGCCCGAACCCUCCCUGCCACGCUUCCCUUCCCUCCCCAACAGGCAGCCAGCCCCUCAGAACAGUCAGAAACCACAGCAAUAAAGUGGGCUCAGAGGGUGUCACAGGGACCUGUGAAAACCCUUCACAAAUGACUUUUUUUUUUGGUCUAACCCUCCCAACUGCCUAGCCCCAGGCAAGUACCAGCAAACCAGUUAGUUAAAUGACUCAUUGACUUGCUAAUGAGAUUGCUCUUGGGCCAGUUAGAGGAGACAAUCAAAAGAACUGUCCCCAGGGAGAGAGAAAACAAGCUUGGCAAAAUGCUGAAGCAUGCUGAAGCCAGGUGACUGGUUCUAGGAGUGCAUUAUAAUAUUCUCUUUUGUGGAUAUUUGCAAAUGUUCUUAAUAAACAGUGAAAAUUAAAAAAUUAAACACAAGAAAAAGCAAUGUCUCCAGGGACCUGGGCCAAUUUUUCCAGAGUGAGAAGCUAUACUUCUUUACUUUUGAGGUCCUGCCUGUUGACAUUGCCCCACACUUCCUCAUUUUCUAUCAAUUCAAUAAUUGUUUACUGAGUACCUACCAGAUACCAGGCAUAGAGCUAAACUUGGGAUAUAGUGAUACAGUGAUAAGUAAGCCUCCUGUUCUAAAAAGCAGCUAUGCAGUCCAUUGUCCAAGUGCUGACCCAGUUAUGGUACCGUGGGAGCACACAGUUCCUCUGAGGGCUGAGGGUCUCCCUAGUUAGGAGUGGGAAUGAAGCAGUCUGGGGUAUUGGUCUGGGGUACUAAUUCCUGUGGCAUGAGUACUUGGGGAGGCAGGGGUGAGGCCAGCUAUGCAGAUAGGGGCAGGUGAUACUGUCGUUAGGUGGGCAGGAGUCACUGAAGGACUUUUAGUAGUGGAAUAGCUAGUGGUAAGACAAUGAUAGGUUGGACCAGGGAAGGAAACCCACACUUCAGAAAUACUUAAGGGGUGAAUGCAUAGGAAUUGGUGACUGAUCAAAUGAGCUAAGGAAGGGAAAUGAAGGGGCACCCCUUAGAAAAAGAGCGAGCCAGUCUGGAGAAGUUAUCCAUUACCCAUCAAGAAAUCUGAGGUGCCUGUAAGACCGCCAAGCAGAGGUAGAAGGGUGGAGGCCCUGUGGGAUUCAUGGUAGAGUUUCCCCCCAGGGCCACAUGGUCCCCACUGCUCCUUAACUCUCAGCAGGACUCUAGAGCAGGGUGGCCAACACCAGAACAAGGGCACACCAGAAUUCAGCUGGUCCUUCCUCAGCCCAACAUUUCUCUAAUGUGGAAUAAGGGAUAUAUCAUCCUAGGAAUCCACUAGUUCUCGGAAGAAUGUUUUAGCUUCACAUUUCCAUUCUGAUCUUGAGUAGGAGCACAGUGGCCUCCGGCAAUCCCAGACUUGCUCAAGUCCAGAGUCCGUGCCUUUGUCAUACUACAUAUCACAGCCGAGUCAGCAAAGCAUCAUCCCCAUGCACCAUUUUACAUUAAGUUUUUCAUUGGUUUCACAGUUACAUUGGGAAACUGGUUAUUUUACAAUUUAUAAGAGCAAAAGCAAGAAAGUUUUUUUUUUUUUUUUUAAACCCAGUUUUUAUACAUGCUUAAGUGACAUGAUAGCUAAAGUGACAUAAUAAUAAAAAUGUAUCAAGUCAACAUGUUGCAGGGAGGUGGGUCUGUGAAAAAUAAAUUAGAGAAACUGGCACAUAACUCAGUAAGAAAUGGUGUCCCUGACCAAAAGCAAUUUCAAUACAGUGUGGCAGCACAGGUAGGAGGUGCACCAGGAACACAAGAGUAGUGGCCUCAGACUUAGUCCAAGAAUGCUCUCAUGAGGAAAUGCUUACAUGGAGUGAGCCAAGUUCAGAAAAGUCACGAAGAAGCCUAGGGAGAAGGCCCAGAGGAACAGAGGGCUGAAGGUUCACAGGUCCUGGGGACAGGAAGAAUGGAGAUGAAGCUGGUAAGCUCCUGAGUUUGGAUUCUCUGCAGAGGACAGUGGGGUCCAUGGUGUGUGUGACACAAUCAGAUUUGUACUUUUGUGUUCAGAAGAAUGGACUGAGGGAGCGGAGUUAGAUGGGAUGCUGUCCAAUUCAUGAA
Molecule: long non-coding RNA, 3027 nt
Organism: Mustela lutreola (European mink)
Lineage: Eukaryota; Metazoa; Chordata; Mammalia; Carnivora; Mustelidae
Exons: 3
Source: RefSeq, a predicted model, not a curated record